This 539-nucleotide long non-coding RNA is filed under the name Salmo salar (Atlantic salmon). RNAcentral's name for it is "lncRNA (ENSSSAG00000097285.1, ENSSSAG00000099750.1)". Lineage: Eukaryota; Metazoa; Chordata; Actinopteri; Salmoniformes; Salmonidae. The record is from RNAcentral.
AAAUCACCUGGGAAUACAUGGUGUUGUGGUGGCUCUCUCCUUCACAGUCUGUCAGUGACUACAAAUGAGACCCUGGAUAAACACAAAUAUCUGUAUCAGGAUCCAGCUAUGACUAUACUGGACAGACAGACAGUGAGGCAGACAGACAGACAGGUAUUUCCAUCCUGUUAGAAUAUGCAGGCAUUAUGGAGGGGAACCAAGAAGACGUCAUGUCGCAAGGUGAAUGAACCACAAGGCAAAGGCAUCACGGGAAGAGGAUUUUGGCUGGCGGAGUGAGCGCAGGAAUGGCGUCGGACAGACAGUGUGACCCAGGGCUCAGGUGGCAGCUGUGCUACGACUUCUCUGCCAGGUCAUGGUGGAUGGUAGGGAUACUCCCUGUCUAUCUCUAUCGCUUUCUCCAUCACUCCCGCUUUCUUCUCUCUCCAUUGACCAUCUCUUCAUUAAGUUGAAAAAAAUGUAUUUAACUAAAAUGACAUUUGAGUGGAGGUUGUUGCUCAGGUAUAGGGCAUAGGAAAUGUUUUGUUACUGUGGGUAUCUAC